GACGAACGCUGGCGGCGUGCCUAAUACAUGCCAGUCGAGCGAAGUUUUUCUGGUGCUUGCACCGGAAAAACUUAGCGGCGAACGUGUGAGUAACACGUAAAGAACCUGCCUUAUAGACUGGGACAACUAUUGGAAACGAUAGCUAAUACCGGAUAACAGCAUUAACUGCAUGGUUGAUGUUUGAAAGUUGGUUUUGCUAACACUAUGAGAUGGCUUUGCGGUGCAUUAGCUAGUUGGUGGGGUAAAGGCCUACCAAGGCGACGAUGCAUAGCCGACCUGAGAGGGUGAUCGGCCACACUGGGACUGAGACACGGCCCAGACUCCUACGGGAGGCAGCAGUAGGGAAUCUUCCGCAAUGGGCGAAAGCCUGACGGAGCAACGCCGCGUGAGUGAAGAAGGAUUUCGGUUCGUAAAGCUCUGUUGUUAGGGAAGAAUGAUUGUGUAGUAACUAUACACAGUAGAGACGGUACCUAACCAGAAAGCCACGGCUAACUACGUG
Molecule: ribosomal RNA, 499 nt
Filed under: uncultured bacterium
Lineage: Bacteria
Description: partial 16S ribosomal RNA
Rfam family: Bacterial small subunit ribosomal RNA
Source: RNAcentral